Molecule: ribosomal RNA, 466 nt
Filed under: uncultured bacterium
Lineage: Bacteria
Description: partial 16S ribosomal RNA
Rfam family: Bacterial small subunit ribosomal RNA
Source: RNAcentral
GACGAACGCUGGCGGCGUGCUUAACACAUGCAAGUCGAACGGAAAGGCCCUGCUUUUGUGGGGUGCUCGAGUGGCGAACGGGUGAGUAACACGUGAGUAACCUGCCCUUGACUUUGGGAUAACUUCAGGAAACUGGGGCUAAUACCGGAUAGGAGCUCCUGCUGCAUGGUGGAGGUUGGAAAGUUUCGGCGGUUGGGGAUGGACUCGCGGCUUAUCAGCUUGUUGGUGGGGUAGUGGCUUACCAAGGCUUUGACGGGUAGCCGGCCUGAGGGUGACCGGCCACAUUGGGACUGAGAUACGGCCCAGACUCCUACGGGAGGCAGCAGUGGGGAAUAUUGCACAAUGGGCGGAAGCCUGAUGCAGCAACGCCGCGUGCGGGAUGACGGCCUUCGGGUUGUAAACCGCUUUCGCCUGUGACGAAGCGUGAGUGACGGUAAUGGGUAAAGAAGCACCGGCUAACUACGUG